This 200-nucleotide unclassified non-coding RNA is filed under the name Rhizophydium sp. RNAcentral's name for it is "partial internal transcribed spacer 2". Lineage: Eukaryota; Fungi; Chytridiomycota; Chytridiomycetes; Rhizophydiales; Rhizophydiaceae. The record is from RNAcentral.
UUAAGUUCAGCGGGUCUUCCUGCCUGAUUUGAGACCAUGGUUCAAGUCAGCCCAAAGGCCAACUUUAAUAGUUGAGUGCCGGACAAGCACCAUCACCCGUACUAAGUACUAGAGAAACCAAAGUUCCAUACACAUACUUUUCCGUUACUUGACAGUAUCCAGCAGCUAUAGUUUUAAAAGCACGCAGGGUUAGUGCGACG